GAUGAACGCUGGCGGCGUGCCUAAUACAUGCAAGUAGAACGCUGAAGGAGGAGCUUGCUCUUCUGGAUGAUUUGCGAACGGGUGAGUAAGGCGUAGGUAACCUGCCUUGUUGCGUGGGGUAACUAUUGGAAACGAUAGCUAAUACCGCAUGACAUCAGUUAUUGCAUGAUAACUGUUUAAAAGUGGCACCUUCCCCACUACCAUAUGGACCUGCGUUGUUUUAGGUAUGUGGUGAGGUAACGGCUCACCAAGGCGAAGCUACAGAGCCGGCCUGAGAGGGUGGUCGGCCAAACUGGGAAUGAGAAACGGCCCAGGACCCUACGGGAGGCAGCAGUAGGGAAUUUUCGGCAAUGGGCGGAAGGCUGGCCGAGCAACGACGGGGGAGUGAAGAAGGGUUUCGGGUCGUAAAGCUCUGUUGUAAGGGAAGGACGAGUGGGAGAGUAGAAAGUUCACGUUGUGACGGUAGCUUAACAGAAAGGGACGGCUAACUUCGUG
This 495-nucleotide ribosomal RNA is filed under the name uncultured bacterium. RNAcentral describes it as "partial 16S ribosomal RNA". It matches the Rfam family "Bacterial small subunit ribosomal RNA", at positions 28 to 507 of the family's 1533-position model. The record is from RNAcentral.